This 228-nucleotide ribosomal RNA is filed under the name Triticum aestivum (bread wheat). RNAcentral's name for it is "partial small subunit ribosomal RNA". The record is from RNAcentral. Lineage: Eukaryota; Viridiplantae; Streptophyta; Magnoliopsida; Poales; Poaceae.
AUGGGCAGAGUACAUUCAGCAGACUCUCUGUUGAAACUGGUGUCGGAACUUAAGAGGACAGCCAUCUUUUCUGGGCUUGCUUCUUUGAGUGAGAAUGUUGAUAUAGGAGGAUUGAGGUGCUCAAUCAGCAGGCAGAGGGGGACAGAUAGAAUACUGCAGAGGAUUGGGCAGGAGGCAGCAACAGCCGUUAAGGAGUUGGAGGCACAUUACUACUCAUCUGUUGUGUAG